AUGCAUUUAUUUAUAUUUUUAUACAGGAAAUGCACCGACGUAUUUGUCAACACUCAACAGGCAGAACAUAGGCAAAAUAAUCAACAGAGCUUGGAGAAACGUCCAUCAUGUCUAACAACUUUGCAAAUCUCCACAGAGUUCGCAGUGCUGAAAAUACAAAGUAUAGGAGACCCUUGGGAAACCACUGCAAAGGUUGUCCCAAGAACUCCGCAAACACAAACAUCCAUCUCAAACUCCACAUCAUUUGGGGAAAAAAAAUCUCGUACUCCACACACCAUCGUAGUUACAGCAGCAGAUUAA
This 300-nucleotide ribosomal RNA is filed under the name Triticum aestivum (bread wheat). RNAcentral describes it as "partial small subunit ribosomal RNA". The record is from RNAcentral. Lineage: Eukaryota; Viridiplantae; Streptophyta; Magnoliopsida; Poales; Poaceae.